GAUGAACGCUGGCGGCGUGCCUAAUACAUGCAAGUCGAGCGAACGGACGAGAAGCUUGCUUCUCUGAUGUUAGCGGCGGACGGGUGAGUAACACGUGGAUAACCUACCUAUAAGACUGGGAUAACUUCGGGAAACCGGAGCUAAUACCGGAUAAUAUUUUUAACCGCAUGUUUCAAAAGUGAAAGACGGUCUUGCUGUCACUUAUAGAUGUAUCCGCGCUGCAUUAGCUAGUUGGUAAGGUAACGGCUUACCAAGGCAACGAUGCAUAGCCGACCUGAGAGGGUGAUCGGCAACACUGGAACUGAGACACGGUCAAAACUCCUACGGGAGGCAGCAGUAGGGAAUCUUCCGCAAUGGGCGAAAGCCUGACGGAGCAACGCCGCGUGAGUGAUAAAGGUCUUCGGAUCGUAAAACUCUGUUAUUAGGGAAGAACAUAUGUGUAAGUAACUGUGCACAUAGUGACGGUACCUAAUCAGAAAGCCACGGCUAACUACGUG
Molecule: ribosomal RNA, 497 nt
Filed under: uncultured bacterium
Lineage: Bacteria
Description: partial 16S ribosomal RNA
Rfam family: Bacterial small subunit ribosomal RNA
Source: RNAcentral